UACGUAGGGUGCGAGCGUUGUCCGGAAUUAUUGGGCGUAAAGGGCUCGUAGGCGGUUUGUCGCGUCGGGAGUGAAAAUCCAGGGCUUAACUCUGGACUGGCUUCCGAUACGGGCAGACUAGAGGUAUGCAGGGGAGAACGGAAUUCCUGGUGUAGCGGUGAAAUGCGCAGAUAUCAGGAGGAACACCGGUGGCGAAGGCGGUUCUCUGGGCAUGUUCUGACGCUGAGGAGCGAAAGUGUGGGGAGCGAACAGG
This 253-nucleotide ribosomal RNA is filed under the name uncultured bacterium. Its description in RNAcentral is "partial 16S ribosomal RNA". It matches the Rfam family "Bacterial small subunit ribosomal RNA", at positions 524 to 776 of the family's 1533-position model. The record is from RNAcentral.